This is a long non-coding RNA of Oenanthe melanoleuca, 3225 nucleotides long. RefSeq lists it as uncharacterized. The record is from RefSeq and is a predicted model, not a curated record. The transcript has 2 exons. NCBI's taxonomy places the organism in Eukaryota, Metazoa, Chordata, Aves, Passeriformes, Muscicapidae.
AGCUGGCUGCCGGGUUGUCCCGGCCCCAGACGGGCAGCGCCCUGCCCACGGGCUGCCUGUCUGCACUGCCCACACGGGCUUGGCCUCUGCUCGCUGCCUGAGCCCCGCCAGCGAAGCCGGGAUGCAGCGCUGCUCCCUGCUCCGAGCACGGAGAGAGAUGCCCGAGGUCACGGCGGCUGCAGAGAGCACCAAAGUGAAUGCUGAGGUCCCAGUCCAACGAUCCACGCAGCAAGCGCAUCCUCCAUCCUCCCAAAGUCCUGCACAUUCCCGGCUGCCCCAACACCACCUCCCCUUGGGAAAUCCCAGCUCAGCCAUACCCACCGGCGCAGGAGCCCGGCGUGGGGCCGCGCCCGUCGGCGCUGGCCGCGCUGAGCCCACCCCGCGCCAGCCGCCGGGUGUUCUCCCCGCUCUGACAGCUGGACGGAAAUUGGAAGGCGAAGCUGACAUGUGUCAACAAUAACCAGCGAACAAGCGCCAGCGGCGGCGGCGGCUGUCCCCACCACCUCGAGGAGGCUGGCCACUCUUGGCUGAAAUCACGGCACGUUGCAGCUGGAAGCAGGAGUAUUGUUUCAAUUAUUUCCAUUAUAUAAAGUCAGGCCAUUUAAUAUAUUCUGCCUCAAAGGGGCUCAACUAAAGAGAUAAAAUAAACACUGAAAAUCUGCUUUGCUGACAUGUACCAGGAAUUCAGUUUCGACACCAAGCCUUCCCUCCCAUCUCGCUGCUCAUCUUCCCUUUCCUCCCAGCUCCCUCUCCUACUCUUGCUGCCCCUUGGCCUUCAGUGCCACUUGAUGCCAAUUCCCUCUUUGGGCUUUGCUCCUGUUUUGGCAGCUGGAGCACUUAAAGGCUGUGCAGCCACGCUGGCGUCCAGGACUGGAGCAAGCCAGAGGAGCCAAGAAGAGAUAUGGAGCUCCAGAGCUCGCUCUGGAAUGAAGAAUUUGAUUUAUGGCAAAUCUUAAGCCUCUUGGGAUGCCAUAAUCCCUGAGAACAGCAGGAAUGGCGGGUGGCACAAACCCAGGAAUGGCUGGAGUGUGGCAUGAGGAGGAGGAGGAGAAGAAGGAAAAGGAGAAAGAAAAGGAGGAAGAGGAGGAGGAGGGGAGAAUAAAUGUGCCAUGAGCAUGCUGCGGGCUGCACUUGGCAAUGUCAGCACUAAAAUCAGCCACCUUCAUGCCUUCCUUCUCAUCUGGGAGAGCUGAUGGCACCCCAGCACCGAGGGACCUCAUGGCUCUGUGCUGGCAUGGGAGGUGGUGAGUUGGGCUGCCAGGAGGCUGGAGUUGCUCACACCAGCUCUGACCAGACAGGAGCUGCUUCCCAUUAACGCUUCCCACGGUAUGAGCUUCCCCAGAGCACUCCUCCCUUGCAGGGCUGUGCUAGUCCAGGUAUUCCCAACAUGUUUGCAUGUGAAGCACCAGCCACACCAGCAGUAAAUCUGCUACUUGGCCUUUCCCAGCAUAUUUCGCUGCUCAGAGCUCUGCCUGUCCUGGAGCGGGGUCACGGGCAGUGCCACCGCCAGGGGUCCGGGUGGUGGAGGGAGCCGUGUCACGGGGGGCCAGCGAGGGCUGCGCUGCGGCGAGAGUCGGAGCUGGCAUUUCAUAAGAGCAGGGAAAGGACCUCUGCCGAACUGGCGCGAGAGCAGCUGUGACUUUCCAUUCCUGUGGGAAGUGGGCUGCCACCGUCCAAGCAUCUGGGCUUGUUAUGAUGGGAGAGGAAUGCCAAGUAUUUUUCUUCCUUAUCCACUACCACCCGCUCAAACCCUGCCCUGAUCAAACCCACAUUCAUCGCCUGGGAUGCACUGGGGAAGAUCCCUCCCAGCCCUUGUGGCUGCUGGGAGCUCACGGCACCUGUGGAGAAAACCCCGCCCUCAUCCAGGAGCUCCCUCCGUCCCCCUGCCCCUUCCUGUCUCCUUCUGCUGCUAGCCAGCUCCAGACACUUAAUUUUCACGUUACUACCUUUGCUGGGAGCAUCUCUGCACCUGCAUCCCUGUGCAUCCUCAGUGGCUGCACCCUUGCUGACCUGUGGGCCCGGCGGGACCGCACUGUCCCCUCCAGAGCCCUGAGCAUCCCGAAAACAGCCACUGGGCUGGUGCCACGGGCGUGUGCCCUGGGGCGCCUGCCGUGCCGGGAAGCAGGCGGUGCAGCUUUGGAAGGUCACCAAGAUUUUUCCGAAGAUGAAAGUGUGCUCAAGUGUCAAACAAACUUUCCAAAUUAUCUUUCUGGACACUUUCUCCCUUCUGCUUUGGAAGACGGAGGAGGAACAUUUCAUUCCCUCUGUGCUGGCGUGGAGCGGGGCUGCGUGAGGAGCCGGGAGCUGCCAGCGGCACCCGCGGCUCAACCUCGCUUCUUCCUCCUCGACAUCAUCCCUGAGUCACCGCGGGUGCUUCCCUGGCAUCAUCAGCUGGGCUUCCCCCUCCCCGCAGCCCCCCAAACCUCUCCCAGCACAACAGAGGGCUGCCAGGUGCCCAGUUAAGCAGCGAGCACCACCUCUCCUCCCACCGACAGCUGGAUUUGGCAUAAAUAGACAAAUUAAAGGAAACGCGUGGAUUUCUCUAUCUCAAGGAUACCUGGCACACAGCAGCAGGGGCACGGAGACAGCGGCUAUGCCACCCUCGGCAAAUCCCCCGAGAUCCCAAACAGCUGGAGAUGGGCUGAGCAAUGGCCACGUGGUGCCCCCAGGAUCCAGCACUAACAAGUGCUGUCUAAUUAACACAUCCUCCAGUGACAGGUCACCCUGGCAAGGCUUGUGCCAAUAUCCGCUCACCCAUGCCAGCAGCCGGUGAGCGUGACCAGGAGUGAGGUGUUUCCCUGGCCCUUGCCCAGUGUUUGCCUUCCAGGUCUAGACUAGGAAAUUCCCUGUUGGCUCCAGGGCAGCUGGGCUGGCACCCAGCAGGACUUGGGGAAGCUCCUUGCCCUGUGGCACCCGCGUCUCAUCCCGGUCACGGCAAUCCACACCAAUGCAGCUGCCUGCAGCCAGGAUUUGGAGACACUCAGAUAUCCCCAGUGCCAUUGUCAUGUUCCUGUUUUUCUGUGCUGGGAUGGCAGCAACAUCCCCAUGUCCACAUGGGCCCCCCCAGCCCUUGCAAACUCCUGACGGUGAUGCCAUGCUGCAGGUCUGGUUGUUUAUGGAAAUUUCAGCUGAGCCAGAUGCUGCAAUUUGUGCAUUUUAUAUGUAAUUUUUCAAUUUAUUUCAUAAUUAGAAAAAAAAAAAACCCCGAAGUGAUCCCAACCAUUA